UACAGAGGGUGCGAGCGUUGUUCGGAAUUAUUGGGCGUAAAGGGCGCGUAGGCGGUGCGGUAAGUCACCUGUGAAAUCUCCUGGCUCAACUGGGAGCUUGCAGGCGAAACUGCCGUGCUGGAGUGUGGGAGAGGUGCGUGGAAUUCCUGGUGUAGCGGUGAAAUGCGUAGAUAUCGAGAGGAACACCUGCGGCGAAGGCGGGUUGCUGGGCUGACACUGACGCUGAAGUGCGAAAGCUAGGGGAGCGAACGGG
Molecule: ribosomal RNA, 253 nt
Filed under: uncultured bacterium
Lineage: Bacteria
Description: partial 16S ribosomal RNA
Rfam family: Bacterial small subunit ribosomal RNA
Source: RNAcentral